GAUUUUUCCUUCUCUUUGCUUGCAGCUGCUCACAUAUGGCUUGAACUCAGUGUUCAUAAUCCUUUCACUGCUCGAACUGGCAAUAUCUCUCACUGCUGUGGUGGUUGUCUUCAAGUCUACAAGGCAGCAGUCCUAUAGACAAAUGGUAUCAAGAUAGAAAAGAGCCUUCUCUCAACUCUCUCUGUCACACCACUUGCAACAGCACUGAGCACAGACCUAAAGGUCUUCCUUGCCUGCCAACUGAGACCUUCUUACAGAUGCUUCACCUUUCCCAGGUGGACUCUGGUCAUCAGAAGAAGAAACAAUUUCUGUGUUCUGAUGAAGUUUUGUUGUCCAGAGAAGAAAAACCCUAUGCCAGUUUGCGCUGCAAACUCUCCUUCAUCAGAAAGACCAUUCAGUAAUACCAGAGCCUUCCUCUAUACUUCUGUUCAAUAUCAGGAGAGUAUAUUUUCUAUAGCUUCAAAAGCUCAUUUUUGAAGCUCUCCUGCCUGUCUCUGGGAGAUAGCUAACCAUGUUCUCCUCUGUUGUAACUAGGGUAUUAUGUUUAAGAGACAGAGGGCAGUGAAUGAAUUGACCAAACAGUCCCUGGAUUUUUCUGGACUUUUUCCAACACCACUUUCAGUCAUGGAAGUGGCAUUGGAAGGAUCUCUGUAGUGGUAUAUACCAAAUUGAAAGUCCAUGUUAAUUUUUCAGAAAAAAUAUGGGAGUUAGAGCCAAUCAGUAAACGAAUAGCUUGCUUCUGGAGCUUUCUGGAAAAAUCAGUGUGGGUUUUUCAGCAUAUGCAUUGUUAUCCAUGUUUAUUCUUUCAUAGGAAGAAUCCCAGUUAAGUAUUCUCAGGGAAAGUGUUGCAUCAAUGCCUACUGCUGUUUCUAACCAGAGGAUAAAGAUCCAUUUCAAAAUCUCCCUGAAGACAUACACCCGCCAAAGACGCUUGAAGCUUGUCCCAGUACUCUAGACAAACAGUGUCCCAAUUACCACUUCUUAUAAGGGACACUGAACUAUGCCACUUAUAUAGCCACCCAUUGGCUUGCAGUAAUUCACUAGAGGGGAGAAUUUGACAGCAGAUAACUCCAGUCUACUUCUAGUGUUACUUGAAGAUAGCUGGAAAUUGCUUCACAGAGAUACCCAGAAGAUUAUGGGUUGGAUCCAAAGGUGCCUUCUACUCAUACAACAGGGAGCUAUUCUUAGACUCCAUGGAUUCCUACUUGAGAAGCAGUCCUCCAUAUGGCAUCUCAUACUCUUCAUGAGGGUCCCCUGACCUUAGGAGCAUAUUCUUGAGUGGUGUGGUGGUUUACAGAAAACAUUGGGAAGUGGGAAGAGAUCUGUUCCACAAGUGGAAGUCCUACUUGCCAUUCUCAAGACUACACUCAGUGAGAAUAAAUGCUGUAAAAAAUGUUAAUGUUGUGCACAGCCCUCAUUCAAAGGCAGACAGGCUGAUGGUAGAGAGAAAGAGAAGUCUCCUUAGAUUAUUGUGUUGCAUUAAAGAAGCAGGGAAGAAAAGAAGACUGCAGAUCAGAGACUCAGAGCGCCUUACAAUCGCCUAUAUCUUCUCCCUUUUAAGGGUGAAUAUAAUAGAUACAGUACACAGGAAAAUUAAUCACUAAUGUGCUAUGUUCAGCAAAAAGCCAAGACACACUUCUCAAGUGUGUAGAACCAAUGAGAAUAAUUCAAUAGUGGCGUUCCAUUUAAUGGAAAUCAGAUGAGCUAUUUUGAUCAGGAACUUGACAAAACACAUUAAAUGAGUGAUGGCAUGCAGUAUUGAUUCCCUACGAUAAUAGAAAUAAGGAAAGAUUGUAAGUUGGUCCAUGCAUUCAGCAGAAUGAAACCAUUUUUGAAUUCAGCAAAAUUACGUGAUUAUUCUAAAUAAUAUAACUUCAUGUAAGGAUGAGACUAUACACAUGAAUGCGCUCCCAUGGGAAAAAUCCCCACAUAGAAAAACAGCAUGUCGGGGAGAAGUUCAGGCUGCACUCAUCUCCAUUGCAUGUUAGUUUUUUAUGGGCAAGAAGGUUUUUAGAAUAUAGAACAUUCAAGAAGAUAGUUCCCCUUCUGCAUUCUGAAGUAGUGCAUUCCAGGAAAAGCUAUGCCACAUUUCUACUAAUUGUGCAAAUUGGCCCGUAUAUCAAGAAUUUACUUACAGUAAGAUCCAAGAGGGCAGCCGUGUUGGUCUGAAGUGGUUGAACAAAGCAGGAGUCAAGGGGCAUCUUUAAGACCAACUAAUUUUUAUUUAGAACGUAAGCUUCUGUGUGCUCUUAAGCACACUUCAUCAGAUGAGGAAUUUAUUUUCAGUAAAACAUAGCAUGAGAACUGCUACUGCUACAAGAAAUGUUUCAUUGACUAUAUCUGAUUCCUUUUGUUGCAUCACUUAACGAGAACCCUGUUAUAUUGACUGCAGAAUGUUCACUCUGUUAGUGUCUGUUAACUAGGCUUCAAGUAUUUUGAGAACUUUAUCUAAAGGCUGGAUCUGCCAAGCAGACGCUAGUUUGUAUGCAACAAUACAUUCAUUAGUGUUUGAGAUAUCAUUUGUCAUUUUAGGAAGCAGCACUCUAAUAUGGAACCUCUCUGGAGUUUGUCUUCAAGAAUUUAAGAGAUAUUUCAGCAAGAUUCUUUUGAGGGACCAUGCCUGAAAUUACUGUUGUAAUUUAAUAACUUCAGAAGGAUUAUUACACGUAUAUGUAUGGGAAUGAUCUAGGCAACUGUACUGUAGUGUUUUAAGAGGCAGCCUGAAUUGUGAACCAGUAGAUCUCUGGUUCUAAUCUCAUAUCUGCUAUGAACUCACUGGGUGGACUUGCACAAAUCAUACCUUAGCUAUAUUACUAUUAAGGAAUCUGGGCUCUACUUAAUUGUGGACAGAGGUGGGAAAUUGUGGAAAUUUUGAAGCCAAUGGGAGAAAUUUGUUCCGGGGGUGGGUCGGAAUUUGGGGGGAAAUGAAAUAUAUGCAAUACUUACUUUUUCAUCAAAACUAGGCUUGCUUUACAGCUUUAACUGCAUAAAAUCCAUAAUUUAUAACAGCUAUAAAAUUGUCUUAUUUAACAAUUUAUGGAAUUUAUUAGAAGUAUAAAUGCCUUAGUUUUCUAUAAGCAAAAUGGUGACUACAUGAGAAAAAGAGAGAGAAUUAAAAACUGCUGCAUCCUAUGUUACCUAGGACACAUAUUUUAGGUUUUGCCAUCUGAGAAGAAAGUAAAACAAAUUUCAUAAUAAACAGAAGUGUGGUAUCUGGACAGAAAGAGUCUCAAACAUUCAUAAACAUGCUAGCAACAUAUUUAGAUAUCAAGUUCAAAUUUAUAACAUGGAAAACACAACGCUUCAAUUGGGUAGUAUUACCAUUCUCAUAGCAUAUUAAUUUAGCCUUGGCGAGAUGGGCAGGAUAUAAAUCCCAUCAAUCAAUCAAUAAAGCAAUUCGGUACAAAGUAAGUCACAUGUGAACAACAUCUGAAAAUGUUUUAUGUCUACCUUAUACACAGGAAUUAGUACCUGUAGAUUGUCCCUUUUUAUUGGAAAUAAAAAAAAAAAACUCCCUAGGAAAUACCCCCCCCCCCCACCAAUUGCUCUAGUUUUGGAUGAUGUGAAUAGAUAUGGGUCAGUUAAGAUAUAACAUCCUGCCAUUGUUUUCAUCUGGACCAGGCCAUAGCCUAUUGCUUUUCCAUUUUUUACACAGCUGAAAGUGUCUCCUAUAAAGGAAAAUGGCAAGAAAAGAAACAGUUAUUGCAUUUAUAACAUAGUACAUAAAUGUGAGCAACUGUACUAACUUUACUUGAAUUACACAUCACAGAAAGUAACUCCGAAACCAUUCCCCUAGAGCUGCACAGAUAAGUGAUUCACUAGCAUGGUGUAUUCAAUGGAAUCUCUUUGUGUCUGGCUUGAAUCAAUUUGCUUGUAUUUAUAUAGUAUCACUGGCUUAACCAUGAGGAUUAUACAGCUCCUUUCAGCCAUGUGUCUUCUAUAUUCCAAUUAAAAUACUUUGGUCACUC
Heteronotia binoei (common prickly gecko) is the source of this 3968-nucleotide long non-coding RNA. RefSeq lists it as uncharacterized. The record is from RefSeq and is a predicted model, not a curated record. The transcript is spliced from 2 exons. NCBI's taxonomy places the organism in Eukaryota, Metazoa, Chordata, Lepidosauria, Squamata, Gekkonidae.